CUUGUGAUAAGUAUCAACACAAAACUGAAACUGAGAAAUGUUAUGAAAAAUAUUUAUGAGCAGUGCACAUAUGUUCCACUAGUAAUACAUCAUGUACAAUACAAAAUAGACAUUUUCCUCGCAGAAAACCGAACUCAUGCGUUUAUCGAUAAUGUAAUGAUACGUGUUGUUUGUUCCCCUAUCUUGAUCUCGGACGGGAGGCACAGCGUUUACUUACUGCUGCAGGCACAAAAUGCCGUUUCCUUUACGAAUAAAAAGCAAUGAAAAAUGUGGAUAUCCUGAGCACGGAAAAUCGGAUAAGUGGAAAAGUCAUAGUCGAUUGGAAUCGGCGAGAAAUGAUCCGGUAAGUAAAAGCGAACGUAGAACGAAAUGUGAAAGCUGUAUUCCAUCUGUGAUUCCUUACCGUCUACGGUCCGAUUGUGAUCGUGGUGGACAGAUGACUGAUACAUCGGUUUCCAGGCGAGGCUGCUCCUCGUCUGUAACAUCGUAUAGUGAAAAUUCGAGUAACUUCUGCUCUUCUUCGACAAACUCCUCUGAGGAAAUACUCCAUACCGCUGAAUACUUACAUGGCAUACAAUGUAGAACGAAGAGAGUCGAACGCAUUCCACCUUUUCUCCUUAAACCGCCCAUUUCUCCCAAACCCGAUUUUCACCUGUAUAUUUCCUCCCAGAAAAAUCGGCCUAAAUCGUUAUGCAGUAAAACGAGAGCUGCCACGAAGAGUGACGACAGCCUUACCGCAUACGAGAAGUCUUCUAUUUUGUGUCCGGAUAUUGAAGUGAUCAGGGUGCCGAGCACGUCUCGCCACAUCGAAGCCGGAAGACAGAAAUUCAGGAGAACCUGCAGUGAAGAACGAGUGUCGUUUCAGGAAGAAUGGUUGAGGCCGAAGUUCACCAAUACGUUAGCAGAUACGGCUUACACCGAUCGACAGAACUUCAGUCCAUUGGACGAAAGGUCCCGCAUUCCGUCUCCUCCGAACCGAAACGAACACCAGUUGACUAUUCGUGAAAACAGAACUGUCUGUGAUGAACGGUUAAAUCAAUACAGCCGCAUAGAAAACAGAAAUGUCGAAGAUCGUUCUGAGCCAAAGGCGUGUGGGUUGAGUGAAUUCACGCCUCCGCCGGAAUUCUGCGACGAUCGACUCUUUUUACUUUCGAUACUCCCAACGUUAAAAAAGAUGGAUUACGACAGUAAAAUUAACGCCAAGGUCGAAAUGAUGAACACUCUUCAAAAAGCGGCGGCAUCUCCACUUCGGCACCAGGUACAACAGCCCACGUCGGUCUCUCCUUCUUCUCCGUCGAGAUCACCAGACAGGAGUCUGUUUUACGGAUUGCAAAAUCUUAAAGAAUCCUACAAAGAACUGUGUUCGCGUCUACAAAGACUUCAAUAAAUAAAUUUGACACGAUUGACGAUUCACUGAUAAACAUCGGAUUUGUGAUUUCUCUUACAAACUAUAUUAAAAUUAAAUAUAACAAAUUUUAAUGUUAACGCACUCAAAGAACAUAACGGUUAAGAAAACAUGUGUUAAAAUAAUCAAACCGUCGAACUACGUACAGAUUAUAUUGGUAAAAUCAUGAUGACACUUUAAUCGCACUAAUAUGUCUUAAAAAAUAAGUCUAUAAGUUUUACAGUGUUGUUGAUCUUAGUUCUUGUUGUAUUAUUUAUUUUUUGUUUUUAAUAUUGUUUCUUUGCUUUCAUACAAAAAAAAACUUCAAAACCUUUAAUACAAAAUUGUACAUAAAAUACUAUUUUAAAAUCCUACUAUGAAAAUGAUAAAUAUAGGUGGUUUUAUAGUCGGCAAUAUUUUCCUUAUUUUGCCUGAAUAUUUUAUUUUGAUAACGGCCAGAUGAUAAUGUUCGGGACAAAAGCAUGUAGCAAGCCAAAUUGAUAGACUUGUCAGAGUUCCUGCGGCAAGAUGUCAAGAAAAAUCAGCAAGACUAAAAGCCCGGAAAGAUCCCAACAGGACGAUGAUCUGGAUUCUGAUUCUAACAGUUUAACAAAAACUGAUGAGAGUGGUAAACAGGGUAACUAUUCUUAUGUACGAGGCACUCAAAGUGAUUCACCUAGAAAAAAACAUUCAUUAUUAAAUUCGGAAAAAAGUUCAUCAAAAACUGAGAAGGAUACAUACAUUACUUCACCGACUAAAAACACAACUCUAAAGACAUCGAAAAAAGCCAGUAGUCACAAAUAUCAUGAAAAAGAACCAUCGACCAAAAGGGAAGGACAUGCAGAUUCUGCGACUACGAUAGCAUUUGAUUCUGAAUUGGAGCACUCAUCAGAAGAAUCUCAGGAAGAUGAACCGGAAUCUUCAGCCAAGAAAAGUCAUUCCCACAAAGAAGAGACACUUGAUAAUCCAAGAAGUAAAUUUAUUCCCGAACAAAAAAAAACGGGGUACGAUAAAAGAAAGAAAUCUCCAAAAACUAGACAGGCCCAUGAAAAACAGUAUGAUAACAAAAAGAAACAUACCAAGAAAAAAUCACUAGAAGAUGACAAUAGAAAGAAACCAUUAGAAAAGCCAUACAACGUCAAAUGUAAAUUCAACACCUGUCAAUGCCAUGAAGAACUUCAACCCAAAACCGAUGCAAAACAAGGGCAAGAUAAAUUAGUUUUAUGUGUACCAUGCGAACAAGAUCAAAAACAUGAAAAAUCAAACUUCAAGUUUGUCACUUCUUCAAAUGAUAUGAAGCAACUUCGCCCAAUACACUAUUGCUGCUAUGUCCAAACAGAAGAAAAACAAGAAAAUGAAAAAAGAGUUCCGAUGAACAAUAAUCUUCCAUUGCAUGCUUCAAAGUCAGAUGGAUUUAGAAGAGGUCCUCAAAAUGACGAUUUAAUGUUUAUAUUUGAUCGAAAAACUCUUCCACACUCAGACCCCUUUCCAUUACAGAAAAUAUGUCAAGAACGGCAGGCAGACAUUAUUGAUGUAAAUAAGGUUAGAAAAUGCACUACAAGGAGAGUUCCGGCAGGAUACAAUUCUUUAGAAGAGAGACAAUAUUCGAUGGAACCUAUCAGAGAAAGACCAACAAUAUCUAAAAUUAACGUGUGCUCUCGAGAAGAACACUUUGAACCCAAAGGAUACAAGAGUGCACAAAGUAUCGAGAACGACAGUAAAGAAGAUGAAGAUAAACUCUUUUUACUUUCUAUGCUGCCUACACUGAAAAAGCUAAACGAUCCUAUUAAAAUGGAUGUAAAAAUAGAAAUCAUGCAAAUUAUGCAACGAUCAGUUUACCCGAAUUUACAAUAUGGUGACUUCUAUCCCAUAGAAAGAUGCAUGUAAAACUUUAUGACAAAAAAAAAACGCAGAAAACGUAUUGCCAAAUAGAUUAACAUAAUUUGGCAGUUCUUGGUCAAAGUAGGCUUUCUUUGCAAUUUUAUCUGUUUUGAAAGUGUUUUAUUUCUUCGUGUUAUUCUAUACUCACCACUCUUAUUAUAAUCAGAUGUUAAAGGGAAAAUAAGAACUCAUAAUGAAAAUGACAUUUUAAAGUAUGUUUUAAUUUAUGAAAAUAACAAUAAAUACUUUUUUUCUCAA
This 3523-nucleotide unclassified non-coding RNA is filed under the name Cimex lectularius (bed bug). RNAcentral describes it as "uncharacterized LOC106663378, transcript variant X1". The record is from RNAcentral. Lineage: Eukaryota; Metazoa; Arthropoda; Insecta; Hemiptera; Cimicidae.